CUGUUUGGACACUUUUAUAUUGGUCGACUGCAGACCAGCACAGUGGACAGUAAGUCACUAAAUGCCUCCUGCCCAGUUCUGUGCAGCUGUACACCUUGGCUUUUAUCCUGUAUUGGAACUGGGAAGUGGCAUCAGCUGGAUAAUGUCCCUUUCAUCAGAGGGUCGUCAUAUAUUUUCAACUCUCUGGAUUUAGGUGAAAAUGCCAUCACUACCAUCCAAAAAAGCAAUUGGUUACCCUACAGAUGGACAGAAAACUUAGACCUACAUGGAAAUCAACUUGAAAAGCUACAGAAGGAUUCAUUUGAAGGGCUCAUCUUACUAAAGAAAUUGAUUCUUUCUGGAAAUGUCAUCUCAAAAAUUGCAGGGUUUACAUUUCAAGCACUACCUUUCCUGGAGAUUCU
This is a long non-coding RNA of Mobula hypostoma (lesser devil ray), 401 nucleotides long. RefSeq lists it as uncharacterized. The record is from RefSeq and is a predicted model, not a curated record. NCBI's taxonomy places the organism in Eukaryota, Metazoa, Chordata, Chondrichthyes, Myliobatiformes, Myliobatidae. The transcript is spliced from 4 exons.